AUUGAUUUGUAGUUUAAUAUCAUUAUCCAUGAAAGAACAUUCAAAAGAGAAAAUAAUUUAAUAUUGUGACUUAGUUUAAUUCUUAUUUUAUGUAUAAAUGUUCCUACUAAAAUUUGUGAGAAUUUGAUUUUGGUUAGUCUCAUUAACCUCAAUUUGUUUAUUCAAUAAAUGUAUUAAAUGCCCACUGUAGAGUAAAAUGUUACAUUAAUGAGUUUAAAAGUUUAAUAAAUGAUAUAUGUUUUAAUAUAUGUAAAAGUUAUAGGCUUAAGACAUAUCAAUAUAUAUCCACUUGCUUAUUGACCUUGAAUUACAUCUUAAUGUUUUACCCUCCUUAAAAAUUUCUAUAAUGAGUGCAAUGACUUGGGAAAAAUCUUUGUAGUUGUUUGAAUUUUUAGUUUCUCGUUAGAGCAUUGUGCACAACUGUAGGGUAAGUUAUAAACACAGGAGCAACCCUCACUCACUUACUUUUAACGUUGUGUGUCACUGAGUAACAAAUGUGUCCAUUCACAGAGAAGUCUCUGGCACUUUUAGUGUGUGGGUUUAAUGUAACAGACAGCGUCCACUCACUCACUCAGCCUUUCUCCUUUCCUAGUGGACUCUCCUCUCCUGGAUUACAUCUUAGUUUUCUUUCUUCCUGAAUAUAUCAAUUCAGGAAUUCAACAUAUCAAUUUAGACAUGUCUGUGGGUGGUCCUCAGGGCUGCACUCUAACUCCCUGACCACUAAUUCUGUUUUAUUUUGUACAGAAAAAAAAAAAUGACUUGAAAGCUGUAUAUACUCCCAUCUGAAGUCUUCAGUAGUAAAAUUACACAUUUGGCUUGGCUGGCAGCACAGCCCCAGGGGCUGCUGAAUAAAGAACACAUAGUCCCUCAGGAUGCUCCAACAACUGUGGCCACUGUCCCUUGCUUUACAGCUGCCUUAAGUGGUCAUUUAAAAGUACCAAGAGUGACUUCUGGUUACAUUUUCUACUCAGUAGAAAAAUAUUAAGCACUACCUAAAUAGCCCAGAAAACAAUGAAAAGUCUACACAGAGACAACCUGUCUCGAAAGAAACAAAAUUAAAAAGAAUGAAAAGUCUGGAUUGAUGGGAAGGUGGUAGAUAGAGGAAGUAAGUCAGUAACGUUAACUCUUCAAAGAAAGGAAAUAAAAGGACCCCCCCCCUCCCUGCCACCGCCACCGCCCCCAGAGGUGCCUUGGGCUCCAGGCAGAAGGGAUGAGGCCCCUGCCCUCCUCACCCAGCUUUGCCUCUCAUUCUGCAGCCUUGGUGCCUCCUACACCACUACCUCUCUUGUUACCACUGCAUGCAGUGUGUUAGGGGUCUGUGGCCAGCUCUAACUCCUAAAUAGAUCCCAAACUCCGAGCUUCGUAACUGCGUGCUAGCUCUCACCUAGUCUGCCUGUCUAACUUCCGCCUUCCUUUUCUCCAGCCAGCUGACACUAUUUACUGUGUAUGGCUGUUGAUUUUCAAAUCUCAAGUCCCUUUGGCGUGGAAUGAACUGUGAUCUUUGCCAGUAGAAGUUUUAUCCAAACUGAGCCGCAGCUGUUCCUGAAGCUCUCCCAAUCAUGGGAGCCUGGAGCAGGCCCUCCCUUGUCUGGACCCCCCAGAGCACCCUGCUCUUGCCCACUGCCUCCGUGGUUCAUCUGCUCUUGAGAAGCUCCCUAGAAGCUAGUCCACUCCUGUGGCUCAAAGAGCACACUUCAUCUCUUCCACGGGCCACAUUGCCGCCUUCCUUAUGAGGCCCACGUAAUACAGACAAGCUGGAUGGAUGGCAGAAAGUAUCUCAUUGAAAUUAGGGAGUCUAACAUAAAUUCCAUGAUUUUUGUGCCAGAUUUUGUAUCAACUCUUUAUAUUCAUGUCUAGAAAUUAAAAUCCAGAUAAGAAUAUUAUUUCUCAAGAGGAAACUUUAACCACUGUGUAUAAGAAGAUGCUUCUCGCCAUAGUCUGUGGGACUGUGGUCAUUGCCAUCUAUGGCCAACUAGUGGCGAAAGUUCCCAUGCAUAGUGACUACACGGGUGGGACUGAUGUGCUUCUGAGCCUUCUGAGAUCCUUCCCAUAGACAGUUUCCUAGGAAAUUACAUGCAUGUAAUUCCCAGUGAUAGAUAUUUCUUAAUGGUGGAACACUGCAAGUCCUUAGUUGAUGCAUAUGGGGAGAAGGACUACCUUUUCUUCCCAUUUGACUUUUCUGUGUGAACUGAAUCUAAAUGAAUCUGAAUUUUAAUAAUUCAAAGAAACUAUUUUUGCCCACAUUUUGAAAACAAUUAACUGCCAAGGAAAACCUAACAGCAUAUUCCUUCAUUGUACCAAAUCAAUAAAAGUUGUAUGCAGGAAGCAUUGGCUUUAAUUAAGCUGAUCUUAUAUGCAAAUGUGCAUAUCCUCAAUUAAAGUCAUGUUGUACAUAUUAAAAACUUUCUCUCCCGUCUAUGCCACAUUCAGGAAAUCUAGCUGCAUUGACCUUAAGUAACUUUCCUCCUUGAGUUUUGUAUUGUUUUGGUUUGGGGUUUUUGUUUUGUUUUGUUUUGUUUUGUUUUUGUUGUUGGUUUUGUUUUGUUUUCUUUUCUUUUCUUUUGUUUGCUUUUUUGCUUUUUGUCAUUCCCAGCUACUAGUACCUCCAAAGAAAACAACUUUAUUUCCUUUAUCUUUGUGUGGAUCUGAACUUUUUCCCAGCUGCUGCUAUU
Molecule: long non-coding RNA, 2672 nt
Filed under: Mus musculus (house mouse)
Lineage: Eukaryota; Metazoa; Chordata; Mammalia; Rodentia; Muridae
Description: long non-coding RNA chr15:35865260-35867932
Source: RNAcentral